Long non-coding RNA from Bos taurus (domestic cattle), 1041 nucleotides. The record is from Ensembl. NCBI's taxonomy places the organism in Eukaryota, Metazoa, Chordata, Mammalia, Artiodactyla, Bovidae.
AACAGUGGAAAAAGUGACAGACUUUAUUUUUGGGGCUCCAAAAUCACUGCAGAUGGUGACUGCAGCCAUGAAAUUAAAAGACGCUUGCUCCGUGGAAGAAAAGUUAUGAACAACCUAGACAGCAUAUUAAAAAGCAGAGACAUUACUUUACCAACAAAGGUCUGUCUAGUCAAGGCUAUGGUUUUUCCAGAGUCAUGUAUGGAUGUGAGAGUUGAAAUAUAAAGAAAGUUGGAUUGUUCCUUUUAAAUUGUGGUGUUGGAGAAGACUCUUGAGAAUCCCUUGCACUACAAGGAGAUCCAAAGGAGUCUAACCAGGAGAUCAGUCUUGGGUGUUCAUUGGAAGGACUGAUGUUGAAGCUAAAACUUUAAUACUUGGCCAUCUGAUGUGAAGAACUAACUCAUUGGAAAAGACCCCGAUCCUGGGAAAGAUUGAAGGCAGGAGGAGAAGGGGACGAGAGAGGACGAGAUGGUUAGAUGGCAUCACGAACUCAACGGACAUGAGUUUGGAUAAACCCCGGGAGUUGGCGAUAGACAGGGAGGCCUGGUGUGCUGGAGUCCAUGGGGUCGCAAAGAGUCGGACACAACUGAGCGACUGAACUGAACGGAACAGAUCACAUAAAAUUUACCAUCCUAACUGUACAUUUCAGCAGCGUGAAAUACAUUCUCAUGGUUAUGCAGCCCAUCUCCAGAUGUCUUUUCAUCUUCUCAGACUGAAGCUCCGUCGCCUUUAAACACCCUUUCCCCCUACACUCAUGCUUCGCCUUUCUGUCGAUGAAUCUGGCCACUCUGGGGACCUCAUACAAGUGGAAUCAAACCGCGUUUGUCCCUCUGGGUCUGCCUUCUGUCACGCAGUGCUACGUCGUCAAGGUCCACCCAGGCCGACCUGUGUCAAAAGCGCCUUCCUUUUUCAGACUUAGUAACAUUCCAAGACACUUCCAGGCCCGGACGCCGCAGGAGUGAGGCCUGCAGGACCGGGCGGGAACCCGGGGCCAGGUCCGCCCAGGUGCGGACGGGCGGCGGGAGGGCGGAGCGGCUCCACCCG